Callithrix jacchus (white-tufted-ear marmoset) is the source of this 4278-nucleotide non-coding RNA. The record is from RefSeq and is a predicted model, not a curated record. Lineage: Eukaryota; Metazoa; Chordata; Mammalia; Primates; Cebidae.
GGCUCGGAGUUUUCUUUGUAAGAUGUUAAGCUAUAAAUUCAAUUUCUUUAAUUUUGAUAGAAUUUUUGAGGUUAUUUAUGUUUGAUUGAGCUUCGGUAGCUUAUGUCUUUCAAGGAAUUUUCCCAUUUCGUGUAUGUUGUGGGACUUACGUUAUCUGUAGUAACAUCCUUUUUCUCAGGCCUGCUGUCAGCAAUUUGUUAUUUCUCUCCCUCUGUCUCUCUCAUCAGUCUGGCUAGAGAUUUAUUACUUUUAUUGAGGUUUUAAAGAAUGAGCUUCUGGUUUCAUUGACUUUUCUCUGAUGUUUUCCUAUUUCAUUAAUUACUCUCAAUUAUUUUCUCCCUUCUGCUUUCUCUGGGUUUACUUUGCUAUUUGUUCCUAGUUUCUUGAAGUGAAAGCUUAGAUCAUUGAUUUGAGAUCUUCUUUUGUUAUGCUAGUACUGAAUUCUAUAAAUUUCCCUCUAAGAACUCAUUCAGUUGUCCUCCACCAAUUUUGAUAUGUUUGUAUUUUUAAUUAAUGAAAAAUAUCUUCUAAUUUCCCUUGUGAUCCCCUCCUUGAUUCAUGGGUUAUUCAGAAGGAAGCUUUUUAACUUUGAAAUAUUUGGGAAUGUUUCAAAUAUCUUUCUGUUAUUUACCUAGGUAUUCUGGUAUUUUUCCUGUUGAUCCACUCUGUCCUGCUUUAGUUAUUAUGGAUGUUUGAUGGCUUCUGUGGAAAAUAAUGAAAUAAUCCCCCAGUCAGAAGGAUUCUGAGCUUUCCUAACAGUGAAAAUUACCUGGUGCUGGAUCUUUCCGAGUGCUCGCCAAGGCAGACUGUUGAGGAAGAAGCACACUCUGUUGGGGUCCAGCAGAUCUUGGCUCUGGUCAGCCCUUGCUUAGUCAAAUGUGACCUUGGCUAAAGACCUUAGUAGAAUCUGUGUUUUCUUGUCUGUGAAGUGGACGUCGUAAUUCCUGCUUCAUGAUGUCACAGAGUUUUCGUAAAGAUCAAGUAAGCUAAUUAAACUCUCCUGAUGAAUUACUGAGCGUGUAAAAUGGAAGAUGUUAUUAUUCUUGGCAGACAUUUUCUACAUGUAAAAUUAUUUGUUGUGCUAUCCUUCACUAGAAUUCUGUUUGACUAUUUAAACAGAUUUUUCUAAAGAUCUGACUUUAUAAUAUAGAUGAUAAAGUAUCAGAUUAAAGAUAGCACUCAUCUCAUUAACUUCUAAUAACCAGAUUUAUAACUAAGAGGAGUGUGAUUACAUAGAAGAGUUACCUGCUUGAAUGAGAAAUUGGGUAUAAUUUUAUAGAUGUUUUAGUUAAUAAACAAACCAAACAUCUUUAAAAAAAAUCCACACUGAGUAAAAGGUGGGUCAAACAGCCCUUUUCUGGGAUUUCUGAAAUUCACUUUCCUAAUCCUGCUAGCUCCUCUGUUACCCUCAAUAGGAGGGUUAGUUCUUUGUGUCUCACUGGGUCAUGCUGCGCUCUGUUUAGCCAAGUUGAAUCAGGUAAGUUUUAAUGUUUGACAUUUAGACUUUAAAUAAAAGAGAAAGCCAGAACAAAGGAAAACGGUUGUGUUCCCUGUCCUUGUGCCUUGUCCUGCUGUCAGCAAUUCAGUGGCUUUAGAAGUCUUCGGGGCCAAGUGUCCUUGAAAAGUAAUAUUUUUAAUUCUUAGCAGUGAGACUCUGGGGGAACUCUCUCCGGAGGAAUCCUUGCUUAUACCAUCUGCUCAGCUGUUAUAUAAGGUUUGCUGUAGUAAACUAGAACAAGUUUCAAGCUUUUCCCGUGACAAAAAAUUUAAAAAAAGUUAACCACGGCCUGCUUGCUUGAAAGGUCAAUGCAUCUUUAAUGUACUUUAUUCAUUCAACAAACAGCUGGCAGUGUCAUAUGUGCUGAUCGCGGAAUAAGAGGGAAUUUGAGAGUCAAAGCUUCUGCCCACACAUGAAGGAUUCAUUCCAGCUGGGAAAGCACUUAAUAUACAGGGAAACAGAGCAGGUCAUCUCAAACAGUAAGAUGUGCUUUGAAGGACACAGGCUGUCCUACUGAGCAGGGGUAGGAGAACUUCAGCUUGGGGUGAAUCAGGCCUGAGCCUGUUUCUGAUUUGCAUAUCCUCAACGGUGGCUUCCAUACUGUUACAGAAAAGGCGUCCCCACCCAGACCCCAACAGAGGGUUCGUGGAUCUCUCUCAAGAAAGAAUUCAAGGCGAGUCCAGAGUGCAAAGCAAAAGCAAGUUUAUUAAGAAAGCACAGUGGUGAGAGGACAGCUACUCCAUAGCCAGCAUAGGACGUUUCUGAGAGCAAGAGGAGGAGUGCGUCCACCCCCGGUACCAUGCUGGGUCCACAGGGGGCGUGAUUUCAAAGGCAGAAACUUCCCAGCGCCAUGCCUCCAUCCGCCUCCGCAUCCGGGAACCUACAGUUCUUGGUCUAACUUUCCUAGGGCGCCAGGGCUAAGUUAAAUUCCAGAACUCUUUGGGUUCAAUAUUUACUUCACCAGUAAGCUCCCCACAGCGCCAGGGCCUCUUCCCCAUUCCUGGAGCCAGGAAGCCCAAGAACCUUGGACACAUCGGAAAAGAAUGGGAUGGAAGCUGAGUGCGUCUCCCUCCGGAUCUGGGAACUGGGAGCAUCUUCGGGACCCCUCUCUGCUCUCCCCUGCGUCAUGCAACCCGGUUAUUUCUUGAGCAGCGGGAAGCAAGGAGAGAAAGCAGAGAGGCUUUAGGUCUGCCUUUCUUUAAUGCCCAGGACAUAUGGCCCUCCUGCAAAGAUAGCGUACAUAAUUCACAAGCUCCCUGCUCACCAUCAAGCACCUCCAUUUAUCAGACACCCGGGCUGAAAGAAGAAUGCAAGUUAAGCUUCCUGCUGCCUUGUUGUUCUCAAUCAGCUGAGUUCCGUUCUAUGAAAUCCUCAGCAAGCCUUUGUCUCCCAGCAGUUGGCUCCUCUUCUACUGACCCUGCCUAUUGUCUCCUUGCAAUGUAUUUUCCUGCUUUCUCUAAUAAAUCUGCCUUUCUCUACCAACGACUGUCUUUUUGUUUUUGUUUUUGAGACGGAGUCUCUGUCUUCCAGACUGGAAGGCAGUGGUGUAAUCUCAUCUCCCUGCAACCUCUGUCUCUUGUGUUCAAGUGAUUCUCCUGCCUCAGCCUCCUGAGUAGCUGGGAUUACAGGCGCCCACCACCACGUCCGACUAAGUUUUGUAUUUUUAGUAGAGACAGGGUUUCACCCUGUUAGCCACGCUGGUCUCGAACUCCUGACCUCAGGUGAUCUGCCUGCCUUGGCCUCCCACAGUAUUGGAUUGCACGCUUGAGCCACUGCGCCCGGGUAUCCUACAACUGUCUUGGUAAAUUCUUUUACUCUGGCGCCACCAGGCCCAAAGAGUCGUUGCUCCCCGUGACCCCAUGCUCUUCAGUUUCCUCUUGGUUUUGUCGUCUUAGGGAGAAGUCAGGAGAAAGGUCGGCUCUGACUGGGUUGAGUUGACAGAUUUUUGCCUUUAGCUUCCAAAGAUGAUGAUAAGAACCCAAAGGGAGAGUCACCCGCGGUAUAACACUGAGAACCCUGGACUGAGGUCAGAAGUCUCUGCAGAGCUUUCUUUACCAAUGUUAAGAUGUAAUGACCAUUUUGAAAGUGAAUAAUUGUUAUUAAAAGAGAAGUGAUAUCCUCAUUCUUCUAUUUGGUUUUCCUUCACUACUGUUGUUAAUGGCAAAUAGAAGCUUCUUGAAUAUUCGUGAAGUUGAAAAAAAAUCAGGCUCUGAAUCAUUAUUUGGUAAGAUCUUGAAAGACUGAAAACACAUUUGUCUGAAUAUCAUUUGGGAAAUAAUUAUUUGUUUUCUUGGAGAAAUUAUGUUCCAAAGUUGAUCUUCAACUGUAGUUAAACGUUUGAGUGCGUGUUUGCAGGUACACUUUGUAUACAGCUUCCCAUGUAGGUAUCCAGGGAAUAGUUCUGUGAAAUCUGAUAUUCAUAUCCCAGCGUAUUUGUUGAAGUUGUAACGCAGACACGCAGAUGGCUGUUAUUAGGCAUUCUACUAUAUUUUGUAAGUUUUAGUUGGAAAGAAAUGUUGAAGAAAGCAUGUGUCUUAGGAGGAGUGUUAUAAUUGUAACUAUGACACCCAUGGCACCCUGAGAAGACAAAAGAGAUCACAGGCCCUCUUGUCUUACCAGUUAGGACACCUUUUCAGCAACAAAACACCCCGGGGAAAAUGUGGCAGGGAGCCAUGUUCUCUUAUCGCUUCCCUCCCUGACAUCCUCAGCUCUCUCUGGUUCCUGGAGCCACACCUGCUACCAGUCCCUGCUCUCUCCAGAGAUCCUUUCCACAAGUUGUU